Long non-coding RNA from Panicum hallii, 543 nucleotides. RefSeq lists it as uncharacterized. The record is from RefSeq and is a predicted model, not a curated record. NCBI's taxonomy places the organism in Eukaryota, Viridiplantae, Streptophyta, Magnoliopsida, Poales, Poaceae. The transcript is spliced from 3 exons.
AUUGGCCCAGACCUCGACCGUAGUCUUCUUCCUCGCGAAGGAGCUCCGCACGCCUCCAGACCUCCUUCCGACGAAGCUAAGCACCACAGAGAUCUAGUAUUCCCUGAAAGGUCUCAGCUUUCUGCUGAAUCUCCAUGGCCCGCGUCCUCGGCGCCCCCACCGGGUCUUGAGUGCUCGAGUACACCAUCACCCAGAUCGUGUAUGCUGCUUGGUUCUUGCUCAUGAUGGUGAUGAUCCGAAGAGAACGGCAGUACAGCGUGGGAGGGGCGUUCCUGGAGGCGGUGUGGCUUGGAUCACCUACAUGCUCGGGGCGUUCAUUGUGAGAGCAAUCUCUUUUUUUUAUUUUUGAUCGGUUGUGGGAGCAAUCUUUGUGGCAAUCUCUGGGGAGUCAGAUCGGCAGGUGGAUGUUUGUCCCUCGUCGGCGAGAUGUAUGUCAUGAGUUCAUGCAUGACUUCGUUACUUGCUCGAAUUGGACAAUAUGUAAAUCGCUCAUCUAGAUUUGCAGAUAAAUAUCAAUCAGAUAUAAGAUUAGCUCUAUUUUGA